Long non-coding RNA from Paramisgurnus dabryanus, 959 nucleotides. RefSeq lists it as uncharacterized. NCBI's taxonomy places the organism in Eukaryota, Metazoa, Chordata, Actinopteri, Cypriniformes, Cobitidae. The record is from RefSeq and is a predicted model, not a curated record.
CAGUACAUUACUGUAAAAAUCCACAGUACUAUACUGUAUGUAUACAUUACAGUACAGUACUGCAGUUCAUAAUGCAUUCUGGGUAAAUUUGUUUGAGCGGGAACAUUUUACAGUAUAUUUUGGUCUUGAUGUAACCUUGCUGUAGCCAUUGCUGUAAUGUGCCAGGUGUACUUGCAAUAAUCAGAGAAAGUGCGCCAGAGUCAAAUCACACAGAGGGAGAGAGAGCACAACUCCUGGCUGCAGCUGAAGGAGGACGAUUGAUUUCUGGCAGUUCGUCUUACCAUUGCUUGUAAGCUGGAUUGGGUAAGAUGGAUCAUCUUUAAAGGCACCAGGAGUUAAGGCAGAUGUGGAGGCACAACGGGUGAUACCAGACACACACCAAGCACAUUAUGUUCGGACAUUCAAUCAUGACAGGAUCCAGGUGGAUGCUGUCCAUUGAUGAAAGAGUUUGUUCAGCGGUUUCUGGAUAGAAUUAAUUCCAAAGAUGGGAAAAAGUGCACAUCCAGACAAGGAGCAAGCAAAAAGACAAGGAACUUGGUGCAGAGAAAAGCUGUGGUCAUUAACCCCCAUGUGAACAGCUUCAUGCAGUCCCUGAUUGAGUUCGAAUGGACGACUUCAAAGUAAAGGCCACUGUGGUCUGUCUGCCACAGUUUAAUGCAUUUAUUUUUAGUGUUAAAUGAAAUUUAAGUAGAAUAUUUAAAACUAUGGGCCAGUGUUCUUUUUACCACAGUGAAAUGUUACCUUUUAGUCGAUGAUGGACUUUAAACUGAAAACUUCAAACUAUGGACCAGUGUUCUAUUUGCCAGAGUUAAAUAUGUUACAGCAGGGGUCUCCAAACUUGUUUAUACUUGUUGAUUUUAUUUUAUGUUACUUGAUUAUAUGUUUAUUAUUGUUUAAAAUCUUGUUUUAAAUAUGUUUGUUUCAAUUAAAUGUUUUUUUAAAUAAAAUUUUGAUACAUA